AGUGAACGCUGGCGGUAGGCCUAACACAUGCAAGUCGAACGGCAGCACAGUAAGAGCUUGCUCUUACGGGUGGCGAGUGGCGGACGGGUGAGGUAUACAUCGGAAUCUACUUUUUCGUGGGGGAUAACGUAGGGAAACUUACGCUAAUACCGCAUACGACCUACGGUUGAAAGCAGUGGAUCUUUGGACCUUGCGCGAUUGAAUGAGCCGAUGUCGGAUUAGCUAGUUGGGGGGGUAAAGGCCCACGAAGGCGACGAUCCGCAGCUGGUCUGAGAGACUGGUCGGCCGCACGGGAGCGGAGACGGGGACCAGACUCCUACGAGAGGGAGCAGUGGGGUAUAUUAGGCAGUAGGGGCGAGCCUGGUCCAGCCAUAGCGAGUGGGUUGAAGAGACCUUGGGGUUGGAAAGCCGUUUUGUUGGGAAAGAAAAGCAGCAGGUUGAGACGCCGCUGUUCUGACGGUACCCAAUGAAUAAGCACCGGCUAACUUCGUG
RNAcentral lists this ribosomal RNA (492 nucleotides) under uncultured bacterium. RNAcentral describes it as "partial 16S ribosomal RNA". It matches the Rfam family "Bacterial small subunit ribosomal RNA", at positions 30 to 507 of the family's 1533-position model. The record is from RNAcentral.